GCCGACCAAUCAGAGGCAGCUCGGUGCCUCUUUCAGGAAGUUAGAGAGCUGUGCCUGGACGACAUAUGUCAAAAAUAAGAAUGUCCUUAACCGUUUUAAAGUCUGCUUACAGACUGAGGUCCCUCUGCAGACUGCAGCGAAUCCAGGGCCACAUGAUGUCGAGUAAGGGAAGCAGAGGUUCUUCUGGAGAAAGUGGGCAACGCAGGUGUGAUCACCAUAAACAGACCCAAAGUCCUGAAUGCCCUCAACCUGACCAUGAUCCGGCAGAUCUACCCUCAGCUCAAGGUAUG
Long non-coding RNA from Micropterus salmoides (largemouth bass), 290 nucleotides. RefSeq lists it as uncharacterized. The record is from RefSeq and is a predicted model, not a curated record. The transcript has 3 exons. NCBI's taxonomy places the organism in Eukaryota, Metazoa, Chordata, Actinopteri, Centrarchiformes, Centrarchidae.